GACGAACGCUGGCGGCGUGCUUAACACAUGCAAGUCGAACGGAAAGGCCCUGCUUUUGUGGGGUGCUCGAGUGGCGAACGGGUGAGUAACACGUGAGUAACCUGCCCUUGACUUUGUGAUAACUUCAGGAAACUGGGGCUAAUACCGGAUAGGAGCUCCUGCUGCAUGGGGGGGGUUGGAGAGUUUCGGCGGUUGGGGAUGGACUCGCGGCUUAUCAGCUUGUUGGUGGGGUAGUGGCUUACCAAGGCUUUGACGGGUAGCCGGCCUGAGAGGGUGACCGGCCACCUUGGGACUGAGAUACGGCCCAGACUCCUACGGGAGGCAGCAGUGGGGAAUAUUGCGCAAUGGGCGGAAGCCUGAUGCAGCAACGCCGCGUGCGGGAUGACGGCCUUCGGGUUGUAAACCGCUUUCGCAUGUGACGAAGCGUGAGUGACGGUAAUGGGUAAAGAAGCACCGGCUAACUACGUG
This 468-nucleotide ribosomal RNA is filed under the name uncultured bacterium. Its description in RNAcentral is "partial 16S ribosomal RNA". It matches the Rfam family "Bacterial small subunit ribosomal RNA", at positions 28 to 507 of the family's 1533-position model. The record is from RNAcentral.